This 72-nucleotide transfer RNA is filed under the name Bos taurus (domestic cattle). It matches the Rfam family "tRNA". From Rfam's summary of the family: Transfer RNA (tRNA) molecules are approximately 80 nucleotides in length. Their secondary structure includes four short double-helical elements and three loops (D, anti-codon, and T loops). RNAcentral also lists the same sequence under 1 other name. The record is from Rfam by way of RNAcentral. Lineage: Eukaryota; Metazoa; Chordata; Mammalia; Artiodactyla; Bovidae.
UCCCUGGUGGCUCAGACGGUAAAGUGUCUGUCUGCAAUGUAGGAGACCCGGGUUCAAUCCCUGGGUUGGGAA